CAGCAGCCGCGGUAAUACGUAGGGUGCGAGCGUUAAUCAGAAUUACUGGGCGUAAAGCGUGCGCAGGCGGUUGUGUAAGACAGGUGUGAAAUCCCCGGGCUUAACCUGGGAACUGCGCUUGUGACUGCACAGCUAGAGUAUGGCAGAGGGGGGUGGAAUUCCACGUGUAGCAGUGAAAUGCGUAGAGAUGUGGAGGAACACCGAUGGCGAAGGCAGCCCCCUGGGCCAAUACUGACGCUCAUGCACGAAGGCGUGGGGAGCAAACAGGAUUAGAUACCCGCGUAGUCCCUGUCUCUUAUAC
This 301-nucleotide ribosomal RNA is filed under the name uncultured bacterium. Its description in RNAcentral is "partial 16S ribosomal RNA". It matches the Rfam family "Bacterial small subunit ribosomal RNA", at positions 509 to 807 of the family's 1533-position model. The record is from RNAcentral.